GAUGGUGCCAGUCAGGCUAUCGUAUAUGCACAAAAGACAGUGCUUCUCAACGAUUCACUUUUGUAUAAGGAUUAUUGUUGAAUAAUCCAACAGUAUCAGAUUACCAGUCGCGAAGGGAUACAGUAGCUGUUUCAAGUGCAAGAGAUAGACGAUCACAAAGCGCUGAUACAUGGAUUGAUUGCAGACCAGGAGCAUUGGUUCCUUUAGGAACAGUUCUUCAACCAUCAAUGCGUAGAAGACGUAGUGUCACACAUCUUACAGCUUCAAAAGAAAUUACAGAUGGUACAUCUAGACAUUAUUUUGUUUCAUAAGAACACGACACAGAUAGUGAACUUGAGACAAAACUAUAUAAGGUAAUCUUAUUGUAAAUGGAUUAACUGUUGAUAUAGCUAUAUGACUAUAUGAAA
Molecule: long non-coding RNA, 407 nt
Organism: Osmia bicornis bicornis
Lineage: Eukaryota; Metazoa; Arthropoda; Insecta; Hymenoptera; Megachilidae
Exons: 2
Source: RefSeq, a predicted model, not a curated record